This 465-nucleotide ribosomal RNA is filed under the name uncultured bacterium. Its description in RNAcentral is "partial 16S ribosomal RNA". It matches the Rfam family "Bacterial small subunit ribosomal RNA", at positions 28 to 507 of the family's 1533-position model. The record is from RNAcentral.
GACGAACGCUGGCGGCGUGCUUAACACAUGCAAGUCGAACGGAAAGGCCCUGCUUGCAGGGUACUCGAGUGGCGAACGGGUGAGUAACACGUGGGUGAUCUGCCCUGCACUUCGGGAUAAGCCUGGGAAACUGGGUCUAAUACCGGAUAGGAGCCAUUUUUAGUGUGAUGGUUGGAAAGUUUUUUCGGUGUAGGAUGAGCUCGCGGCCUAUCUGCUUGUUGGUGGGGUAAUGGCCUACCAAGGCGGCGACGGGUAGCCGGCCUGAGAGGGUGGACGGCCACAUUGGGACUGAGAGACGGCCCAGACAGCUACGGGAGGCAGAAGUGGGGAAUAUUGCACAAUGGGCGCAAGCCGGAUGCAGCGAGGCCGCGUGGGGGAUGACGGCCUUCGGGUUGAAAACUACUUUCGCUAGGGACGAAGCGUUUUGUGACGGUACCUAGAUAAGAAGCACCGGCUAACUACGUG